RNAcentral lists this ribosomal RNA (775 nucleotides) under uncultured Neocallimastigales. Its description in RNAcentral is "partial large subunit ribosomal RNA". It matches the Rfam family "Eukaryotic large subunit ribosomal RNA", at positions 22 to 635 of the family's 3401-position model. Lineage: Eukaryota; Fungi; Neocallimastigomycota; Neocallimastigomycetes; Neocallimastigales. The record is from RNAcentral.
GUACACGCUGUGACUAGCAUAUCAAUAAGCGGAGGAAAAGAAACUAACAAGGAUUCCCCUAGUAACGGCGAGUGAAGCGGGAAGAGCUCAAAUUUGAAAUCUUAAAGGGUUUCCCUUUACGAAUUGUAGUUUGAAAGAAGUGUUUUCUGUUGAGGUUUUGGUAAAAGUUCUUUGGAAUAGGACAUCAUAGAGGGUGAGAAUCCCGUAUUUGACCUUUACUUUCAACUUUGUGAUACACUUUCAAAGAGUCGGAUUGUUUGGGAAUGCAGUCCAAAAUGGGUGGUAAAUUUCAUCUAAAGCUAAAUAUUGGCGAGAGACCGAUAGCGAACAAGCACCGUGAGGGAAAGAUGAAAAGAACUUUGAAAAGAGAGUUAAACAGUACGUGAAAUUGUCAAAAGGGAAGCGUUUGACACCAGUGUUGUUUUUCUGAAAAUCAACUAAAGAACUGUUUAUGCUAAGUUGUUUAGACUUUAUCAGCUAUCUGUUUAGUUUUGAGCUUUUCUCUAAUGCACUUUUCAGUUAACAAGUCAACAUCAAUUUCUUUUGCUGUAAAAAAGCUUGAGGAAGGUGGCUUGAGAUUCGUCUUAAGUGUUUAUAGCCUCUUGCCUAUGCAGUCGGAGAGAUUGAGGUCUGCAGCGUAGAUCCUUCGGGGCUAAAUGCAUUUGUGCUAAGUUAUAGCAUUUUAUAGACAACUUGUUGACUAUGAUUUGUCUUGUAGCUUACUCGCUUAUGUUAUUUUACCUACGCUUAGGAUGUUGAUAUGCAUGACUGAUAU